This 253-nucleotide ribosomal RNA is filed under the name uncultured bacterium. RNAcentral's name for it is "partial 16S ribosomal RNA". It matches the Rfam family "Bacterial small subunit ribosomal RNA", at positions 524 to 776 of the family's 1533-position model. The record is from RNAcentral.
UACGAAGGGGGCUAGCGUUGUUCGAAAUUACUGGGCGUAAAGCGCACGUAGGCGGAUCCUUAAGUCAGGGGUGAAAUCCCGAGGCUCAACCUCGGAACUGCCUUUGAUACUGGGGAUAUCGAGUCCGGGAGAGGUGAGUGGAACUGCGAGUGUAGAGGUGAAAUUCGUAGAUAUUCGGAGGAACACCAGUGGCGAAGGCGGCUCACUGGUCCGGUACUGACGCUGAGGUGCGAAAGCGUGGGGAGCAAACAGG